Molecule: long non-coding RNA, 912 nt
Organism: Acyrthosiphon pisum (pea aphid)
Lineage: Eukaryota; Metazoa; Arthropoda; Insecta; Hemiptera; Aphididae
Exons: 2
Source: RefSeq, a predicted model, not a curated record
UUACAAUAACAUCGCCUAUCGGGUACGAUGCGAGCAUCGUUGAUUAAUGUCUAUAUUUUAUUCUAACGCCGCAGCCAUGCAGUGUUCAAAAACGGUUAGGUGGUGUUUCGUUUUUAUAGCUGUUCUGUUUAUACUGACGUUUGUGAUUUGCUUAAAAUAUUCCGACCAUUUUGAAUUCACCAUUUAACCAGUUUUAUAAUUGUAUAAUGUGUCAAAAACAAGUGUACGAAUUCGAUGAAAAAUCUAUAACAUUCUCUGCUGAAUAUUUUUCUCGGCUGAUUGCUGAACCUAUUCAUAUAGGUACCUACUAUAGUAUAUUAUGUAGAUAUUAUAGCCACAUAAACUUAUAAGUUAUAACUUUCGAUUGCAGUUUUAUUAUAGUGCAUAAUAUAUUAUAUUACAUUGAAUUGUCAUAUUAUAUUACGGUGUCGCACCGUGUCUGCGGUAUUCGAUCACCCGCCAUAUAAAUCACACGCAAACGAAUCGAUGAUGGAAAUUCCAUUUUUAGCGUAUCAUGUGCAUGAUCACGGAGAACGAAAAAACUGUGCUGUGCACUGUGCAGUCGAUGACAUAUUAUAAUAUGCACGCAUCGUCAUCGUGAUGGUCACCUGCCACCUGCAGCUGCGACGUAAUUGAAAAAACGAAGGAAUCUGCACUGUGUUUAUAAUAUAAUAUGUUAUUGACAUGACUAUAUAGUGAGUUGUGGUGACUUCUGACUCGAGCUGUAGAGCACUAUAAUAUAUCAGCUGUGAUAUAAACCAUGAACAAAGAUAUAACUAUUUUACUCAAGCCCGGAUUAAGACAUUUUGAGGCCCAGGGGCCAAAGUUUUAAAUGAGGCCCUUGUACGAAAAAAAAAUAUUAAUGUAUAUAAUGUGUUCCGGAGUGAAGUGACCAGCUGACGUCAUAUAAAA